Molecule: RNA transcript, 5473 nt
Organism: Mirounga angustirostris (Northern elephant seal)
Lineage: Eukaryota; Metazoa; Chordata; Mammalia; Carnivora; Phocidae
Gene: PPHLN1
Gene name: periphilin 1
Exons: 13
Source: RefSeq, a predicted model, not a curated record
CGGUGUCUUCUAGAGAGAAGGAAGUGCAUCCAGGGCGCAGCCCGAAUGCCUCCACAUCCACCAGGGGACCGCUGGGACUAAUUCUCUUGGCAAACUUGUGGCCAGCCAAAGCUACCAUGCUUCACAUCCCCGUUAUUUUUGGUUACCGCCGAAGAUUGGCUUACAGAAGAGAUGAAAUGUGGUCUGAAGGACGAUAUGACUAUGAAAGACUUCCAAGAGAACGAGUACCUCCUCGAAAUCACCCCAGUGAUGGCUACCAUAGAGUAGUUAAUAUUGUGCCAAAGAAACCAUCACUGCUAGACAGACCUGGUGAAGGAAGCUACAGUAGAUAUUACAGUCAUGUUGAUUACCAAGAAUAUGACGAGGGCCGCAGUUUUUCUCAUGAUCGAAGAAGUGGUCCACCUCACAGAGGAGAUGAAUCUGGCUAUAGGUGGACAAGAGAUGAUCAUUCUGCCAGUCGACAGCCUGAGUACAGGGACAUGAGAGAUGGCUUUAGAAGAAAAAGUUUCUAUUCUUCCCAUUACACGAGAGACCGGUCUCCUCAUAAAAGAGACACUCCUUUUUUCAGAGACUCACCUGUAGGUCGGAAGGAUUCUCCACACAGCAGGUCUGGCUCCAGUGUCAGUAGUAGAAGCUACUCUCCAGAAAGAAGCAAAACGUACUCUUUCCAUCAAUCUCAACAUAGAAAGUCCAUCCGUGCUGGUGCCUCCUACAAACGGCAGAAUGAAGGAAAUCCAGAAAGAGGUAAAGAGAGACCUGUUCAGUCUUUGAAAACAUCAAGAGACACUUCACCCUCAAGUUCUUCAGCAGUUCCUCCGUCAAAGGUGUUAGACAAACCCAGUAGGCUAACUGAAAAGGAACUUGCUGAGGCUGCAAGCAAGUGGGCUGCUGAGAAGCUAGAGAAGGCAGAUGAGAGUAACUUACCUGAAAUUGAGUAUGAGGCAGGAUCCACAGCACCAUUGUUUAUUGAGCAGCCAGAGGAACCUGAGUCAAAUGCAACAGAUGGCAUAGAAUUAUUUGAAGACAGUCAACUAAACAGUCGCUCUAAAGCAAUAGCAUCAAAAACCAAAGAGAUUGAACAGAUUUACCGACAAGACUGUGAAACUUUCGGGAUGGUUGUGAAAAUGCUGAUUGAAAAAGAUCCUUCAUUAGAAAAGUCUGUACAAUUUGCAUUGAGACAGAAUUUACAUGAAAUAGGCUUAAAGUAUUUUCCUGAAAUGUAGACUUUUAUUACUCUCUACUGCAAGAAUACUCAAUGUUCAGUUUACCUACUCAGCAGCAGGAUGGAAGAACUGAGAAACCAUUAACUUUGGUGACUUAAGGUGUCUUGAUAUCUGAGCAAGCAAUUAAAUGAGAUAAGAUUGAGCACACAGAAGUGCUCAAUAAUUGUGUUAUUACGAAUCUAAGUUUCAGAAAUAGUAGGAUUAAAAUCCUAUCUCUGUAUAGUAACCUCUGGAGGAACCACAUCUUUGUGACCCAAUUCCUAGCACAGUUUGGAAUGUUGUAUGUACUUGUCUUCAUUGACACUUCACAAAAGAAGUGACAUUUGACUCCUAGGUCUUGGAGGACUAGGACUUUCAGGCAGAGAAGGGGACGUAAUAGAAGUCUAGGAAGAGGGGAAUGGUAUAGGGAAAGAUACAGGCCUGUAUGACUGAAGCUGGUUGGGAAAGAUGAUGGGCAACAAAUGUAGGAAAAGAUAGGUUGACAGCAGAAUGAAUGAUUCUGAGUGCUUGUAGCUUUAUCCUUUCUCUCCUAAUUAUUCAAGAAUAACAUUUGAAAAUACUACCUUUGAAAAUAUUACCUUUAUGUUUAUUUUUGCCAAAUAUAUUGAUUUCUCACAGCCCCUCAGCCACUUAGCAACUGAGCCGGUUUAUAGACCCAGAACCUCUUGAAGAAAGGGGAAGCUGACUCCCCUUCAGAAAGGGCUCCGCAUGCACUGCCCAAAUAUUAUACACUGGUUUCAGCUUCAUUUCAGAAUUGCCUGCAAGGGAACCUAAACUCCAAAGAAAGCUGUAACAGUUCUUUGGUGCAACUUUGGAGAUGAUGAUCUUGUCAUCCCUGAAGUAUUCAUGGUGGACAGUAUUCAGUGUUGAGGGCAGCCGGCCCCCCAGGUGACUUUAUAACUGUAACACUGCUCAGCCUGGCACCUGGAGCUCCUGUGAGUAAUGGCCACACUCUGCUGGCCAGACCAAGGUUUGCGGGUGAUACACAAUACAUUUACCAUCUCCUUCCUGCCUGUUCUCUUGAGAGCACUGAUGUUACUCAAUUCAGUGGGGGGAAAAAAAGGUGGCGGCUGAAGGAAUGACUAGUAACUAAGGCAGUUAGCAGAAUCUUUUCUGCCGCUUUUCAUGGUAAUGGAGUUGAAAUAGAGUCACAUGACUGCCUCAUUAGGACUACAUUUGCUAUAUUCCCCUUUGCAGUUAGGUGUGACCAAGUGACUAAGUCCAUUCCUAUGGAGUUUGAGUGGAAGUAUUUCUCUUAUGAGCUGGGACCCUUAGGACAGUAGAUAGGCUCCUUUGUGCUCUCUUUUCUCCCUUCCCCAAAGUAGUCAUGGGUACUCAGCCUUGAUUUGUUGCAGAGCCACAAGAUGGAAGGAACUUGGAUCCCUGCAUGACCACAUAGAAUACCGAACUGUUAUGUGACAGAGAAGAAUAAAUGCCCUCGUUGUUUAAGCCACAUUAUUGGUUUUUUCUUAGCAGCUCACCUUUUGUUCAAAUUAAUGUAAAUGGUAUUUGAGGGUUGGCUUCACUGAACUUGGCUCUCAGGAGGCUGUACCAGUCCUGCCUUUCCAUUGUAAUAACUGAUCUUGGGGUAAUGGGGACCCUUUAUGUAAAAGGCUUUGUCAGUCCACUGAGUUAAUUCCAAGUUGUAUUUAAAAUCUCACUUGAUGACAAGUGUCAUUAAAGACUGAUGCACGUUUGUGUAGCGGCAGAGGCAGCCUGAUGACACAGCACAUCAUUGUUUGAGCUCUGUUCCCAAAGAUGAAUAGUGUUUCUAAUGUUAGACCAUUAUCACUAAAAUUGUAUAGGGUUUUAAAGUUUUUUUCAUGUGUAUGUGUGAGUGAAAAGGUAGAGGUUUACUGAAAUAAGAACAUUUGAGAACAUAUAAGAUAGAAAGUAACCACAACAUCCACGGACAUUUGCUGCAAGGGGACAUCUGAGGUAUGUACCCACUACUUAGGCUGCCCAUGUGCUAGCACAUUUUUCCUAGUUGGAAUACAUAGAAGAUAGGGAGGGGACAGAGCUGCCCUGGCUACUGACCAUACAACCUGCAGGUCUGCACCUUCAGGAAAGUUCCUCUUGCCCAGGGCCGACUUCCUGGGGGCACUUGCUGGUACCCCCAUUCUUGGUAGAGAGGUGGAGAUCGUACUGUUAUUGGGGACAGUGAGCAUUCACUGAGUGGGUAAGUCUGGGCAAGCUACCUGGGGAAAGGGAGAGGAUCCAAUGACCAGAAAAGUGCGCAGUCCCAUCAUCCUCCCAAGUGGGAAGACUCCUAUCCUUUGUGAUCAAACCCGUGAGAAAGACACACUGGCCAGAUGUCUGCAACACCUUCAAGUGGGCCCAGCACCAGCCAGCUGGGUUCCUCUCUGGCACCAGAUCCCAGGUGCCGUUCUCUGCCCGCACCCUAUGCUUGCCUGGUGGGGAAGGUGGGGAAGGCUUCUGAAGCCAGAAUAGGGUCAGCCUCCAGUAGAUGGGAAAGUAUGUGUGUGUUGUGUGUUGUGGAGGGUUGGGGGAGGGGAGAGAGAAAAUGCAGUUCAACAGCACUGUAGCUUACCAGGCUGGGGUAUCUGUUUUGUGCUCAAGCUUUUGAUUUCCUCCCCUCUCCUUUUCUAGAUAGGACUGAACAUUAGCAACCUGAGGGCUCCUGCUGGCAUGCCCUCCCACCACAGCCUGACGACACCAUAGUGGGUGGUGGUCUGUGAACACUGCAGGGCUUACUCGUUUGAGAGGAAUGAUGCUGCUCAGAAUUUAUGUGCAGAUGUGCCAGUGCAGGAUAAGGGAUCUAUGAGGAAUUCAAGUCCAUCACUAAGGGCCUGGGUACAGGGCUUGGCCUCCUGCGGCUGAUGAGAAGACCCGCUGAGCCAAGGCAGCAGAACUGCAAGCCUUCGGACAGCGAGCAGCUGGCUGCUAAACUGCUCUUCGGGAAUGUAAUUUGUAGCAACAAUUAGGAGCAUCAUAAAUUAUGUACCAUAAAAGGUGCACCUUUAGUGCUACUCUUCCUCAGCCGCUCUCCCUAGGGUCAGCCAAGGAGGAGUGCCAGAGGGCGCCGCCGAUGACCACACAAGCUGUGGGACGGCACCCCGAACCCCGCCACUCCGCAAACACGCUGCCUCUGUCCGCUGGAGGUCACACGUUACAAACACAAGAGCUGGUUUGUUAAGCUCUGUCAACGCUCCCUUAUCGGGGUCUCUCAAGCAUCAGCUUUCUUUGCUUCCGUGGGUGUUAUUUUCUAAGUACCUGGAGUCCAUUUCCCCAAUGAAACUGGAGGGAGCCACACGGAGCCGUACUUGGUCACUCUAAGAGGACUUGAUUUUUGUUUGGGGUUUCUUCUGUUGUAUUGAAAGGACAGCCCUUGGUGAGUCCUGCUGACUACGCUGCAGCGCCGAGAGAGAACGAAAGCGACUCCCCGGGAGAGGAGAUGGGGGAAUCAGGGCCCUGCCUGCUUCAGUAGCGGAGUUUCACCCAAAACCUGAAAGAAGGGGUUUUCUCCUAGAGGGCAACUUGUCAAAAUACUGCUUUCCUAACCUGGGUUCCAGGCUGCGGCCCUCUCUCCCCGUUGUAUCGGCCACAGAAGCCCUUCCAGCUCGAAGUGCUUACUUACUGAGGAACAGCCACGUGUGCGCGGGGCAGGCCGUGUGUGACUGGGGAGCCCCUGUUCUCCGAAGAGCUCCCCACCAUCACUCAGAAGCAACGGCAUACCCGACUGGCACCUGUUACUUCGAACUAUGGCUUCACCCUGACAUGAAUGUCUGUCACCAGCAAUGUUUAGUAAGCUCAUUAUAAGGAUAUUGGGAAAAUAAAAAUAUGCAUAUACUUAAAAUAACAAUAGAGACAAAGCACAAAAUCAGCUUCCUCCUCCCCCCCAGUCCGCACUGUGGGGACAGGUUCUUUUAUGUGUAAGGUUAUCAAAGGUCAAAUGACUAAGCAGUAACACUUCAGAUGGUUUCUUACAGCUCUGUAUUUCUUCUUCUCCAAAGCAAAAGCGUUGCUGAGAACUGGCAUGGAAACAUUCCUCUUUCCUUUUAUUACCUUUUUGUUGUUACUGUUUUUUCAAAGGUUAAAUUCCUCUCACUCUCCAAAGAGACUUGUCAGAUAUCCACAUAACAAAUGCAUGAACAGUGCUCUGGAUGUCAUUCAUGAGAGCAAAAAUAGCAUCACUGUAGGACUUCUGGAUCCAGGAGUACAAAAGGACUGAAAACUUUCAUGGAGAAAUUAAGGAUGACCUUAAAAGGCAAAAAUUUACACUAUCCAAA